AGUGAUCCUUCUAGACCAGAUACCACAGACUCCAUUAAUAUUUAAUUUGGAGUUCUUGACGAAUGUUUUAAAAAGAAAUCUAGAGACGAUGAUAUAGCGGUGGAGAUGAGAAUGGAAUUUAUCGCUUUUCGUAGAUAGAGGUGAAAGCUAGAUUGAUUGAUGGCUAAUUCGGCUUAUCAUCAGUCUACACCCACCGUUGAUGGAAGCAAAUUCAUAAGGUCGUUUUUUUACCCAUGUUUUUUGAUCUGUUAUAAUUUUGUAGUACCUAUAUACCUACCCUUUUACUAUCUUUAUUAUAUAAUAUAAUAUAAUAUAUUUAUUGAUUGAUCGUGAGAAGCCUCGAUCUCAUUUAAAGUCUAUAUAUACAACNAGAGAAAGGAUCGUUGUUCUUCAAGAGUGAUCCUUCUAGACCAGAUACCACAGACUCCAUUAAUAUUUAAUUUGGAGUUCUUGACGAAUGUUUUAAAAAGAAAUCUAGAGACGAUGAUAUAGCGGUGGAGAUGAGAAUGGAAUUUAUCGCUUUUCGUAGAUAGAGGUGAAAGCUAGAUUGAUUGAUGGCUAAUUCGGCUUAUCAUCAGUCUACACCCACCGUUGAUGGAAGCAAAUUCAUAAGGUCGUUUUUU
Molecule: long non-coding RNA, 623 nt
Filed under: Lactuca sativa (garden lettuce)
Lineage: Eukaryota; Viridiplantae; Streptophyta; Magnoliopsida; Asterales; Asteraceae
Description: long non-coding RNA (LSAT_LNC001936)
Source: RNAcentral